UACGUAGGGCGCAAGCGUUGUCCGGAAUUAUUGGGCGUAAAGCGCGCGCAGGCGGCCUUUUAAGUCUGAUGUGAAAGCCCCCGGCUCAACCGGGGAGGGUCAUUGGAAACUGGAAGGCUUGAGUGCAGAAGAGAAGAGCGGAAUUCCACGUGUAGCGGUGAAAUGCGUAGAGAUGUGGAGGAACACCAGUGGCGAAGGCGGCUCACUGGACCGGCAUUGACGCUGAGGAACGAAAGCCAGGGGAGCAAACGGG
Molecule: ribosomal RNA, 253 nt
Filed under: uncultured bacterium
Lineage: Bacteria
Description: partial 16S ribosomal RNA
Rfam family: Bacterial small subunit ribosomal RNA
Source: RNAcentral